UGAACGCUGGCGGUAGGCCUAACACAUGCAAGUCGAACGGCAGCACAGUAAGAGCUUGCUCUUACGGGUGGCGAGUGGCGGACUGGUGAGGAAUACAUCGGAAUCUACUUUUUCGUGGGGGAUAACGUAGGGAAACUUACGCUAAUACCGCAUACGACCUACGGGUGAAAGCAGGGGACCUUCGGACCUUGCGCGAUUGAAUGAGCCGAUGUCGGAUUAGCUAGUUGGCGGGGUAAAGGCCCACCAAGGCGACGAUCCGUAGCUGGUCUGAGAGGAUGAUCAGCCACACUGGAACUGAGACACGGUCCAGACUCCUACGGGAGGCAGCAGUGGGGAAUAUUGGACAAUGGGCGCAAGCCUGAUCCAGCCAUACCGCGUGGGUGAAGAAGGCCUUCGGGUUGUAAAGCCCUUUUGUUGGGAAAGAAAAGCAGCAGGUUAAUACCCCGCUGUUCUGACGGUACCCAAAGAAUAAGCACCGGCUAACUUCGUG
RNAcentral lists this ribosomal RNA (490 nucleotides) under uncultured bacterium. RNAcentral describes it as "partial 16S ribosomal RNA". It matches the Rfam family "Bacterial small subunit ribosomal RNA", at positions 30 to 507 of the family's 1533-position model. The record is from RNAcentral.